UGGGGAAUAUUGCACAAUGGGCGAAAGCCUGAUGCAGCAACGCCGCGUGAAGGAAGAAGGUCUUCGGAUCGUAAACUUCUGUCCUAGGGGAAGAAGAACUGACGGUACCCUUGGAGGAAGCCCCGGCUAACUACGUGCCAGCAGCCGCGGUAAUACGUAGGGGGCAAGCGUUAUCCGGAAUUAUUGGGCGUAAAGAGUGCGUAGGUGGUUCUUUAAGCGCAGGGUUUAAGGCAAUGGCUCAACCAUUGUUCGCCCUGCGAACUGGAGGACUUGAGUGCAGGAGAGGAAAGCGGAAUUCCUAGUGUAGCGGUGAAAUGCGUAGAUAUUAGGAGGAACACCAGUGGCGAAGGCGGCUUUCUGGACUGUAACUGACACUGAGGCACGAAAGCGUGGGGAGCAAACAGG
RNAcentral lists this ribosomal RNA (405 nucleotides) under uncultured bacterium. RNAcentral's name for it is "bacterial SSU rRNA". It matches the Rfam family "Bacterial small subunit ribosomal RNA", at positions 355 to 776 of the family's 1533-position model. The record is from RNAcentral.